GGAGUCUUCGACAAUGGGGGAAACCCUGAUCGAGCAAUACCGCGUGAGUGAUGACGGUCUUCGGAUUGUAAAACUCUUUUAAUUGGGAGAAAUAACUAGAGUAGGUAAUGACUUUAGUUUGAUAGUACCUUUUGAAUAAGCAACGACUAACUUCGUGCCAGCAGUCGCGGUAAUACGAAGGUUGCAAGCGUUAUCCGGAAUUAUUGGGCGUAAAGAGUGAGCAGGCGGCUCGUUAAGUUUGAAGUCAAAUCGUUGGGCUCAACCCAAUCUCGCUUCAAAAACUGGCGAGCUAGAGUAUGUGAGAGGUAAGCGGAACUCCAUGUGUAGCGGUGAAAUGCGUAGAUAUAUGGAAGAACACCAGAGGCGAAGGCGGCUUACCAGCACAAUACUGACGCUCAGUCACGAAAGUAUAGGGAGCAAAUA
This 423-nucleotide ribosomal RNA is filed under the name uncultured bacterium. RNAcentral describes it as "bacterial SSU rRNA". It matches the Rfam family "Bacterial small subunit ribosomal RNA", at positions 358 to 774 of the family's 1533-position model. The record is from RNAcentral.